RNAcentral lists this non-coding RNA (21 nucleotides) under Caenorhabditis elegans. Lineage: Eukaryota; Metazoa; Nematoda; Chromadorea; Rhabditida; Rhabditidae. The record is from RNAcentral.
UGCGCCAAGCCUAUAUAUUUU